RNAcentral lists this ribosomal RNA (270 nucleotides) under uncultured archaeon. Its description in RNAcentral is "partial 16S ribosomal RNA". It matches the Rfam family "Archaeal small subunit ribosomal RNA", at positions 477 to 747 of the family's 1478-position model. The record is from RNAcentral.
CUGCAGCCCGAGUGGUGAUCGAUUUUAUUGGGCCUAAAGCGUCCGUAGCCGGUCUAGUAAAUCCUUGGAUAAAUCGUACAGCUUAACUGUACGGCUCCCGGGGAGACUGCUAGACUUGGGACUGGGAGAGGUCGGAGGUACUCCAGGGGUAGGGGUGAAAUCUUGUAAUCCUUGGGGGACCACCAGUGGCGAAGGCGUCUGACUAGAACGGAUCCGACGGUAAGGGACGAAACCCUGGGGCGCGAACCGGAUUAGAUACCCGAGUAGUCC